AAACUUCGGAGAUGGUUACAUCCACAAAGAAGACCCCGACAAAGAGAAAGUGUGCCCGAACGACUUAUUUCAUUGGAGGCAACGAGAUCUGCAAGAAUACUUUUCUGUUUCUUAUGGGGUCUAACCACUAACUGAGGUCUAAACCAGGACUAAAACAAGACUAAACCAGGAAGUACAGAUACAAGCUCUAAACAUUGGCAGAGACACCCUGGCUGAUAUAGUCAAACACUAUGAGGAGAAUGGGGCAAGACCACGUUUGAGGAAGAAGCACUCAUUGCCACGUCCACCAGCCAGGUUCAUCAGCCCUGAGGAUAUCAACAGAGUUGUGGACUUCAUAAAACACUAUG
This is a long non-coding RNA of Xyrauchen texanus (razorback sucker), 347 nucleotides long. RefSeq lists it as uncharacterized. NCBI's taxonomy places the organism in Eukaryota, Metazoa, Chordata, Actinopteri, Cypriniformes, Catostomidae. The transcript is spliced from 3 exons. The record is from RefSeq and is a predicted model, not a curated record.